CCUAGCGCCCUCAUUCGCCAAAAAAGGUGACUCGGUAUCGUCUGCCCAACCCCCCCUCCUUGCGCACCCCCCAGUUCUCUAGCACAGCCUGGAGCCGAGCAUGAUGUGCAGUGCACAUUCCUUUUGGAUUCCACCAGGGCACACCUUGGAGUCACACAUGUCCGAAGUCACAGCUUUCUUCCCUCUCCUGGGAGGGCGAGUGUUCCCCACUGCGUCCUGCUCUCUCUACCUCUGCUGCUCCCAUCCACCCAUUGGAAACACUGACACAACUGCGCUCUGCUACUACCCUCCCCGUCUCUCUCUCCCACCCCUCUCUGCACAUUAUACCGUGGAAGCCACCGAUGAAGGAGUAGAUUGAUUUGUGCCUGCACUUGGCUCCCUAAAACAAGUCUUCGGGGAGUGUAGGGCAUAAACCACCAUGCCGUUUGCCUAAUUGCCACUCUGCUCCACCCCCACCCCCAACCCCUGCAAGAGAUGGCCAGGAAUUCUAAUUCAGCCGCUGCCUCUGUAGCUGCCGCUCUACAGAUCCCCCAUUUAUCACUUGUGCUGUGUUCAUCACCCAGAGCAGAAAUUUCAAAGAAUCCUUUUUGCUUCAGCUUUUUGUUUUCCUAAUUCCAAAUGCUAAUUAGCAACGGAGUCCCAGCACAAUAUCUUCAGGAGUCACUUUUUAUAUAGUCCAGCUACUGACAACAAGCCACCACUGGUUCCUUGUGUGGAACAAUAUCCAGGCUCUAGGCUCGGUGACGGCUUUUCAAUUACUGCAGGGAGACAGGGCUGGAAUGGCAGCCGCAUAUUAAUGCCUCAGCUCAGGGCAGCGUGCAUUCAGAGAGCAGGCCAUGAGGAAAGGAAAAGAGGCUAGCUGUAAAAUGGCAAGAUUACAGGAUACUGCAUAUAUCAGAGACAGACAGACUGCAUCUGUUUACAUCUGGAUCUGCAAGGCAACCAGAGCUAAUAAAACAUUAAUCUCUCAAUUCCUGCUGAACAGUUGUGUCGUCUGGGGUGGGACAGAUCCAGACCCAGUUUCACUUGUUACAUCACAUCUGGUAUGUGGUGGCCAUCAGAUGAAAAAGCUCAACAGCUUGCUAUGCUAAUUUCAGGUAAGACAUUUUGUUUUUAAAUCUGGUUUCUUUGUGAUCUCUAUCUUGCAUUUAAUUGGAUAGAUGAGUUUAGUGGGUUUUUUUUUUCCUGCACCUGCAGUUUUAAAAUAAAAAGCAGUCUUCCUUUUUAAUAUACACUGUAUCUGCUACUCUUUAUUUUCAUAAAGAAAUAAACUUGCAAUUACACUAUUUCAGGGUUCAUUUCAUAAAUCUUACUGGUCAUGCACUUCCUUUUGCUAUGUAGAUCUCAUAUACAGUAUGCAGUUUUGAAAGGAACACAUGUUAUAGAAAAUAUGUAUAAAAGUAUUCAUAUGGUACCUGUCUAGUCUGAUUGGGGUCGGUUUCACAAUCUGGG
Molecule: long non-coding RNA, 1452 nt
Organism: Polyodon spathula (Mississippi paddlefish)
Lineage: Eukaryota; Metazoa; Chordata; Actinopteri; Acipenseriformes; Polyodontidae
Exons: 3
Source: RefSeq, a predicted model, not a curated record